RNAcentral lists this ribosomal RNA (497 nucleotides) under uncultured bacterium. RNAcentral describes it as "partial 16S ribosomal RNA". It matches the Rfam family "Bacterial small subunit ribosomal RNA", at positions 28 to 507 of the family's 1533-position model. The record is from RNAcentral.
GAUGAACGCUGGCGGCGUGCCUAAUACAUGCAAGUCGAGCGAACAGACGAGGAGCUUGCUCCUCUGACGUUAGCGGCGGACGGGUGAGUAACACGUGGAUAACCUACCUAUAAGACUGGGAUAACUUCGGGAAACCGGAGCUAAUACCGGAUAAUAUAUUGAACCGCAUGGUUCAAUAGUGAAAGACGGUUUUGCUGUCACUUAUAGAUGGAUCCGCGCCGCAUUAGCUAGUUGGUAAGGUAACGGCUUACCAAGGCAACGAUGCGUAGCCGACCUGAGAGGGUGAUCGGCCACACUGGAACUGAGACACGGUCCAGACUCCUACGGGAGGCAGCAGUAGAGAAUCUUACGCAAUGGGCGAAAGCCUGACGGAGCAACGCCGCGUGUGUGAUGAAGGUCUUCGGAUCGUAAAACUCUGUUAUUAGGGAAGAACAAAUGUGUAAGUAACUAUGCACGUCUUGACGGUACCUAAUCAGAAAGCCACGGCUAACUACGUG